GAUGAACGCUGGCGGCGUGCCUAAUACAUGCAAGUCGAGCGAACAGACGAGGAGCUUGCUCCUCUGACGUUAGCGGCGGACGGGUCAGUAACACGUGGAUAACCUACCUAUAAGACUGGGAUAACUUCGGGAAACCGGAGCUAAUACCGGAUAAUAUAUUGAACCGCAUGGUUCAAUAGUGAAAGACGGCUUUGCUGUCACUUAUAGAUGGAUCCGCGCCGCAUUAGCUAGUUGGUAAGGUAACGGCUUACCAAGGCAACGAUGCGUAGCCGACCUGAGAGGGUGAUCGGCCACACUGGAACUGAGACACGGUCCAGACUCCUACGGGAGGCAGCAGUAGGGAAUCUUCCGCAAUGGGCGAAAGCCUGACGGAGCAACGCCGCGUGAGUGAUGAAGGUCUUCGGAUCGUAAAACUCUGUUAUUAGGGAAGAACAAAUGUGUAAGUAACUAUGCACGUCUUGACGGUACCUAAUCAGAAAGCCACGGCUAACUACGUG
This 497-nucleotide ribosomal RNA is filed under the name uncultured bacterium. RNAcentral describes it as "partial 16S ribosomal RNA". It matches the Rfam family "Bacterial small subunit ribosomal RNA", at positions 28 to 507 of the family's 1533-position model. The record is from RNAcentral.